CGCGGCCUAUCAGCUUGUUGGUGAGGUAAUGGCUCACCAAGGCGACGACGGGUAGCCGGCCUGAGAGGGUGACCGGCCACACUGGGACUGAGACACGGCCCAGACUCCUACGGGAGGCAGCAGUGGGGAAUAUUGCACAAUGGGCGAAAGCCUGAUGCAGCGACGCCGCGUGAGGGAUGACGGCCUUCGGGUUGUAAACCUCUUUCAGCAGGGAAGAAGCCACAAGUGACGGUACCUGCAGAAGAAGCACCGGCUAACUACGUGCCAGCAGCCGCGGUAAUACGUAGGGUGCGAGCGUUGUCCGGAAUUACUGGGCGUAAAGAGCUCGUAGGUGGUUUGUCGCGUCGUCUGUGAAAUCCCGGGGCUUAACUUCGGGCGUGCAGGCGAUACGGGCAUAACUUGAGUGCUGUAGGGGAGACUGGAAUUCCUGGUGUAGCGGUGAAAUGCGCAGAUAUCAGGAGGAACACCAAUGGCGAAGGCAGGUCUCUGGGCAGUAACUGACGCUGAGGAGCGAAAGCGUGGGGAGCGAACAGGAUUAGAUACCCUGGUAGUCCACGCCGUAAACGUUGGGCACUAGGUGUGGGGGGACGUCAACUCCCUCCGUGCCGUAGCUAACGCAUUAAGUGCCCCGCCUGGGGAGUACGG
This 645-nucleotide ribosomal RNA is filed under the name uncultured bacterium. RNAcentral's name for it is "bacterial SSU rRNA". It matches the Rfam family "Bacterial small subunit ribosomal RNA", at positions 232 to 885 of the family's 1533-position model. The record is from RNAcentral.